Molecule: ribosomal RNA, 455 nt
Filed under: uncultured bacterium
Lineage: Bacteria
Description: bacterial SSU rRNA
Rfam family: Bacterial small subunit ribosomal RNA
Source: RNAcentral
GUUUGAUCCUGGCUCAGAUUGAACGCUGGCGGCAUGCCUUACACAUGCAAGUCGAACGGCAGCACGGGAGCAAUCCUGGUGGCGAGUGGCGAACGGGUGAGUAAUAUAUCGGAACGUGCCCAGUCGUGGGGGAUAACGCAGCGAAAGCUGUGCUAAUACCGCAUACGAUCUAUGGAUGAAAGCGGGGGAUCGCAAGACCUCGCGCGAUUGGAGCGGCCGAUAUCAGAUUAGCUAGUUGGUGGGGUAAAGGCCCACCAAGGCGACGAUCUGUAGCUGGUCUGAGAGGACGACCAGCCACACUGGAACUGAGACACGGUCCAGACUCCUACGGGAGGCAGCAGUGGGGAAUUUUGGACAAUGGGCGCAAGCCUGAUCCAGCAAUGCCGCGUGCAGGAUGAAGGCCUUCGGGUUGUAAACUGCUUUUGUACGGAACGAAACGGUCCUUUCUAAUAUAA